GCUAACGCAUUAAGCACUCCGCCUGGGGAGUACGGUCGCAAGACUGAAACUCAAAGGAAUUGACGGGGGCCCGCACAAGCGGUGGAGCAUGUGGUUUAAUUCGAAGCAACGCGAAGAACCUUACCAGGUCUUGACAUCCUCUGACAAUCCUAGAGAUAGGACGUCCCCUUCGGGGGCAGAGUGACAGGUGGUGCAUGGUUGUCGUCAGCUCGUGUCGUGAGAUGUUGGGUUAAGUCCCGCAACGAGCGCAACCCUUGAUCUUAGUUGCCAGCAUUCAGUUGGGCACUCUAAGGUGACUGCCGGUGACAAACCGGAGGAAGGUGGGGAUGACGUCAAAUCAUCAUGCCCCUUAUGACCUGGGCUACACACGUGCUACAAUGGACAGAACAAAGGGCAGCGAAACCGCGAGGUUAAGCCAAUCCCACAAAUCUGUUCUCAGUUCGGAUCGCAGUCUGCAACUCGACUGCGUGAAGCUGGAAUCGCUAGUAAUCGCGGAUCAGC
This 501-nucleotide ribosomal RNA is filed under the name Bacillus velezensis. RNAcentral describes it as "bacterial SSU rRNA". It matches the Rfam family "Bacterial small subunit ribosomal RNA", at positions 851 to 1353 of the family's 1533-position model. The record is from RNAcentral. Lineage: Bacteria; Bacillati; Bacillota; Bacilli; Caryophanales; Bacillaceae.